Molecule: ribosomal RNA, 368 nt
Filed under: uncultured eukaryote
Lineage: Eukaryota
Description: SSU rRNA
Rfam family: Eukaryotic small subunit ribosomal RNA
Source: RNAcentral
AGCUCCAAUAGCGUAUAUUAAAGUUGUUGCAGUUAAAAAGCUCGUAGUUGGAUUUCUGGUAGGAUGAUUAUGCCCUCAGCUGAGUGCGCAUCGUCGUCUUUCCAUCCUUCUGUUAACCUUGGAGUCCUUCACGGUCUCCCUGGGGCUCAGAUAUUUUACCUUGAGAAAAUUAGAGUGUUUCAGGCAGGCUAGCGCCGGAAUACAUUAGCAUGGAAUAAUGGAAUAGGACUUUUGCCUCUUCUGUUGGUCAUGGGGUUCGAGUAAUGAUUAAUAGGGAUAGUUGGGGGCAUUAGUACUUCACUGUCAGAGGUGAAAUUCUCGGAUUUGUGAAAGACUAACUUAUGCGAAAGCAUUUGCCAAGGAUGUUU